This 72-nucleotide transfer RNA is filed under the name Deltaproteobacteria bacterium. RNAcentral's name for it is "tRNA-Arg". It matches the Rfam family "tRNA". From Rfam's summary of the family: Transfer RNA (tRNA) molecules are approximately 80 nucleotides in length. Their secondary structure includes four short double-helical elements and three loops (D, anti-codon, and T loops). Further hydrogen bonds mediate the characteristic L-shaped molecular structure. tRNAs have two regions of fundamental functional importance: the anti-codon, which is responsible for specific mRNA codon recognition, and the 3' end, to which the tRNAs corresponding amino acid is attached (by aminoacyl-tRNA synthetases). tRNAs cope with the degeneracy of the genetic code in two manners: having more than one tRNA (with a specific anti-codon) for a particular amino acid; and 'wobble' base-pairing, i.e. permitting non-standard base-pairing at the 3rd anti-codon position. The record is from RNAcentral. Lineage: Bacteria; Pseudomonadati; Myxococcota; Myxococcia.
GCCCCCUUAGCUCAAUGGACAGAGCACGAGCCUCCGAAGCUCGGGAUGUUGGUUCGAUUCCGACAGGGGGCA